AGCCGCGGUAAUACGUAGGGCGCAAGCGUUAUCCGGAAUUAUUGGGCGUAAAGAGCUCGUAGGCGGUUUGUCGCGUCUGCUGUGAAAUCCGGAGGCUCAACCUCCGGCCUGCAGUGGGUACGGGCAGACUAGAGUGCGGUAGGGGAGAUUGGAAUUCCUGGUGUAGCGGUGGAAUGCGCAGAUAUCAGGAGGAACACCGAUGGCGAAGGCAGAUCUCUGGGCCGUAACUGACGCUGAGGAGCGAAAGGGUGGGGAGCAAACAGGCUUAGAUACCCUGGUAGUCCACCCCGUAAACGUUGGGAACUAGUUGUGGGGUCCAUUCCACGGAUUCCGUGACGCAGCUAACGCAUUAAGUUCCCCGCCUGGGGAGUACGGCCGCAAGGCUAAAACUCAAAGGAAUUG
This 402-nucleotide ribosomal RNA is filed under the name Pseudomonas sp. BG5. RNAcentral describes it as "bacterial SSU rRNA". It matches the Rfam family "Bacterial small subunit ribosomal RNA", at positions 513 to 912 of the family's 1533-position model. Lineage: Bacteria; Pseudomonadati; Pseudomonadota; Gammaproteobacteria; Pseudomonadales; Pseudomonadaceae. The record is from RNAcentral.